AUCAAAUUAUUUCGUGGAUUGGAUUUCACUUGCCUGUCUACGGUUCCCUUGCGUGUGCUCGGGAUAAGUGUUUUGUAUAAAUGUUUCGCCGUAUUAUUAAGUAUUCUCGGUGAAUGUCUUGCUAGAAGAUAUAAUUUCUUGGAAUUGAGGUUUAGUAUCUUUUAG
This 165-nucleotide ribosomal RNA is filed under the name Triticum aestivum (bread wheat). RNAcentral's name for it is "partial small subunit ribosomal RNA". Lineage: Eukaryota; Viridiplantae; Streptophyta; Magnoliopsida; Poales; Poaceae. The record is from RNAcentral.